This 65-nucleotide transfer RNA is filed under the name Dipodomys ordii (Ord's kangaroo rat). It matches the Rfam family "tRNA". From Rfam's summary of the family: Transfer RNA (tRNA) molecules are approximately 80 nucleotides in length. Their secondary structure includes four short double-helical elements and three loops (D, anti-codon, and T loops). The record is from Rfam by way of RNAcentral. Lineage: Eukaryota; Metazoa; Chordata; Mammalia; Rodentia; Heteromyidae.
GGUGGCUUAGUGGUAGAGCACUUGCCUUGCAUGCAUGAGGCCCUGGGUUCGAUUCCCCAGUACCA